Molecule: ribosomal RNA, 466 nt
Filed under: uncultured bacterium
Lineage: Bacteria
Description: partial 16S ribosomal RNA
Rfam family: Bacterial small subunit ribosomal RNA
Source: RNAcentral
GAUGAACGCUGGCGGCGUGCUUAACACAUGCAAGUCGAACGAUGAAGCCCAGCUUGCUGGGUGGAUUAGUGGCGAACGGGUGAGUAACACGUGAGUAACCUGCCCUUAACUCUGGGAUAAGCCUGGGAAACUGGGUCUAAUACCGGAUAGGAGCGCCUACCGCAUGGUGGGUGUUGGAAAGAUUUAUCGGUUUUGGAUGGACUCGCGGCCUAUCAGCUUGUUGGUGAGGUAAUGGCUCACCAAGGCGACGACGGGUAGCCGGCCUGAGAGGGUGACCGGCCACACUGGGACUGAGACACGGCCCAGACUCCUACGGGAGGCAGCAGUGGGGAAUAUUGCACAAUGGGCGAAAGCCUGAUGCAGCGACGCCGCGUGAGGGAUGACGGCCUUCGGGUUGUAAACCUCUUUCAGUAGGGAAGAAGCGGAAGUGACGGUACCUGCAGAAGAAGCACCGGCUAACUACGUG